Long non-coding RNA from Mytilus californianus (California mussel), 1520 nucleotides. RefSeq lists it as uncharacterized. The transcript has 2 exons. NCBI's taxonomy places the organism in Eukaryota, Metazoa, Mollusca, Bivalvia, Mytilida, Mytilidae. The record is from RefSeq and is a predicted model, not a curated record.
UCGAGGAUUAAACUUGAAAUAGUAUUAAAACAAACAUUGGAAAAGCUGAGCAACAAGCAAAACAGUAGUUAAAGACAGAGGAACACGAAGGGCAAAUUGGGAAUUUUAUCUGUGGAAUAAAAACAAAAAUAAAGCUGUGCUGAACAUGUACAUGUUAUAGAAAGUUAAAUGCGGGGAUUAUAAAAAAAAUAACAACGUCAAUCGUGCUAAUGUGAAGUAAACUGUGUAAUCAACUGUUGAAAUAGUGAAUGACCUGUUGAUUCGAAAGACAAAUGUGAACCUAAAGGUGAAGAAUCGUGAUCAAAACUGAAAAAAUAUGAGAAUGUACACUUAGUCUAAUGUUGAUUGGAAUUGAACAACAUUUCAUUUCGAAUUCCGUUUUUCAUUUCGAUAACAAUGACGAAUCUGGCUGAAUCGUGAUCAAAACUGAAAAAAAAAUUCAGAGAAUGUACACUUAAUUGGAACAGAACAAUAUAUUUCGAAUUUCGUUUUACUUUUCGAUAACAAUGACGACUCAGGCUGGAAUUCAGGCUCCAAAGGAGAACCGAGAUCCCAAUGAUAUUAAUGAUCAUCUUCAGAUGAAAUUUAAUCAAGUAUUUGGCGAACCAGAUAAUAACCAUUCUUUCGGAAUAGUUUGGGAAUGUUCAGAAACCUGUUAUUCAUGUUGGCAUGGUUUGUGUUAUGGAUUGGCAUCAUGUCUUUGUAGUGUGUGGAUUGUUAUAUAUUGGGGUUUUAUUUUUGGAUGUUUAGCGUUUGACCAUAUUUGGAUAUGUACGCCAUUUUGGAAAUUAUUCACAAUGAUCAUGCAAAUCUGUCGUCCAUUGAAACCGUGUAUAGAUUGUUGUGUACGACCUUGUACAGGCGCAUGUGCUCACUUUUUUAUUCUUUUUGCUGAGCCUGGGACAGAUAUUGACAGAUGGAAUAAACCAGUGAUAAAAACGCCUGUUCGACGAGUAAGAAUCAAUAGAGAUUCGCCGGAACCUGUUAAAAGGACUCUUGUACCUGAGGAUGAUCUAUUCUUAGGACAGAAGACCCAAAUGGCCCGCUCAGUCCAAAGGCAAAUGAUGCUGUAACGAAAACAGUCUGCUAGUUGCAACGUACCUGUAAGGUUAUGAUUGAUCAGUGCUUAUAAACUAGAUAUUUACAGUACUCUUAACUGUUUUAUUUAUAAAUAACGUUAUUAUUAAUAAAUAAAUAAAUUCUUAUUUAUUUAUGCUAUUUGUGAGGUUGACCAUGCAGAUAUGUUUAAAACGAACGUUGGAAAACACAAUCAUGACUGUAUUUUAGUCAUUCAAAUAUCACACCUUAAUACGGGCUAUCAUUUCGACAGAUAUUGGCAAUAGGAUCUGCGUUUCCGAUUGCUAACUUGUAAAGCAGAGUUUUGUCUGAUGUUCCGGUUGCAAUUGCAAUAUAAUGGAUUUUGCAAUCGUGAACAGCAGAGUUUGAUUUGUUUUACCUAUUGUAUUUGCAAUACUGAUAGCCUGUUAUAGAGUAUGAAUAUAAAACAUGGAGUGAUAUUA